Molecule: ribosomal RNA, 465 nt
Filed under: uncultured bacterium
Lineage: Bacteria
Description: bacterial SSU rRNA
Rfam family: Bacterial small subunit ribosomal RNA
Source: RNAcentral
CGGGGGCCCGCACAAGCGGCGGAGCAUGUGGAUUAAUUCGAUGCAACGCGAAGAACCUUACCUAGGCUUGACAUAUACAGGACGACGGCAGAGAUGUCGUUUCCCUUGUGGCUUGUAUACAGGUGGUGCAUGGUUGUCGUCAGCUCGUGUCGUGAGAUGUUGGGUUAAGUCCCGCAACGAGCGCAACCCCUGUCUCAUGUUGCCAGCACGUAAUGGUGGGGACUCGUGAGAGACUGCCGGGGUCAACUCGGAGGAAGGUGGGGAUGACGUCAAAUCAUCAUGCCCCUUAUGUCUAGGGCUUCACACAUGCUACAAUGGCUAGUACAGAGGGCUGCGAUACCGCGAGGUGGAGCGAAUCCCUUAAAGCUGGUCUCAGUUCGGAUUGGGGUCUGCAACUCGACCCCAUGAAGUCGGAGUCGCUAGUAAUCGCAGAUCAGCAACGCUGCGGUGAAUACGUUCCCGGGC